AAACAUCUCUGCGCUUCUUAUCUGCAGAUUGCUUCAUGUGAUGUGCAGCUCGGGAAAGAUGGAUUUUUAAGUCUUGUAAAAUCGCAUCCCUCACUGCUAAUGUCUGAUCAACCUCUUGAACUAAGGAGUGGCCCAACUCAUAACGUGGAAUCAUUUGAGGGUCUCUGCCAUACAAAGCUAAAAAGGGAGUCAUGCCAAUAGAGAUGUUGAAAGAUGUAUUGUACCAAUACUCUGCCCAAGUCAAAAAAGUGCUCCAUUUGCG
RNAcentral lists this long non-coding RNA (262 nucleotides) under Manihot esculenta (cassava). RNAcentral describes it as "long non-coding RNA (MESC_LNC008091)". Lineage: Eukaryota; Viridiplantae; Streptophyta; Magnoliopsida; Malpighiales; Euphorbiaceae. The record is from RNAcentral.